RNAcentral lists this transfer RNA (72 nucleotides) under Camelus bactrianus (Bactrian camel). It matches the Rfam family "tRNA". From Rfam's summary of the family: Transfer RNA (tRNA) molecules are approximately 80 nucleotides in length. Their secondary structure includes four short double-helical elements and three loops (D, anti-codon, and T loops). The record is from Rfam by way of RNAcentral. RNAcentral also lists the same sequence under 2 other names. Lineage: Eukaryota; Metazoa; Chordata; Mammalia; Artiodactyla; Camelidae.
GUGGGUAUAGCUCCGUGGUAGAGCCCAUGCUUAGCAUGCACGAGGUCCUGGGUUCAAAGCCCAGUACCUCUG